RNAcentral lists this ribosomal RNA (750 nucleotides) under uncultured Bacillota bacterium. Its description in RNAcentral is "bacterial SSU rRNA". It matches the Rfam family "Bacterial small subunit ribosomal RNA", at positions 67 to 830 of the family's 1533-position model. The record is from RNAcentral. Lineage: Bacteria; Bacillati; Bacillota.
CGAUUAAGACUUCCUUCGGGAAGUGCAUAAAGUGGCGCACGGGUGAGUAACACGUAAGUAAUCUACCUUCGAGUGGGGAAUAACGUCCGGAAACGGACGCUAAUACCGCAUAAUGCAGCGGCAUCGUAAGAUGACAGUUGUUAAAGGGGCAAUUCGCUUGAAGAGGAGCUUGCGGCAGAUUAGCUAGUUGGUAAGGUAAUGGCUUACCAAGGCUACGAUCUGUAACCGGUCUAAGAGGACGGUCGGUCACACUGACACUGAAUAACGGGUCAGACUCCUACGGGAGGCAGCAGUCGGGAAUUUUGGGCAAUGGGCGAAAGCCUGACCCAGCAACGCCGCGUGAAGGAUGAAGUAUUUCGGUAUGUAAACUUCGAAAGAAUAGGAAGAAUUAAUGACGGUACUAUUUAUAAGGUCCGGCUACUACGUGCCAGCAGCCGCGGUCAUACGUAGGGACCAAGCGUUGUUCGGAUUUACUGGGCGUAAAGGGCGCGUAGGCGGCAUGACAAGUCACUUGUGAAAUCUCCGGGCUUAACUCGGAACGGUCAAGUGAUACUGUCGCGCUAGAGUGCGGAAGGGGCAAUCAGAAUUCUUGGUGUAGCGGUGAAAUGCGUAGAUAUCAAGAGGAAUACCUGAGGUGAAGACGGGUUGCUAGGCCGACACUGACGCUGAAGCGCGAAAGCCAGGGGAGCAAACGGGAUUAGAUACCCCGGUAGUCCUGGCCCUAAACGAUGAAUACUUGGUGUCUGGAGU